GUCUUCUGGCCCCAGAGCACUCCAGGCUGUGAUGCGAUCUGUUUCCAGAAGCAGAAGAUGGUGGUAGAAGCGCUGAGCCGUAACAGGUCUUCAAGGGCUUCAUUACACCUGUUUUGGAAGGGAAGCUGGUAUUUGAUUUGCUUCUUGUGUCAUGAGUCUGGAGAAGAAUUUUGGUGGAGGAGUGGUGAAGAAAAGGGCAAGUUCCUGGAGAGAAGCAGAAGAUAGGAUCGAAGAGAGGGGUGAAUGUGUUAUGGACAUGUACCUGUUCCCGGGAUGAUGCUGCACUGUAGCUUGCUGCCCAGCUCUGCCGGCUUUCGCCCUUCUGCCCAUUGCUCGGAGGGUGUGUGCUGCCCCCAGGACAUUGCUACGUUGUGACUACCUGCGCUGAUGAACAGACACCGACUGCUGCCCUUGAGUAUUCUGAGAAACAACUGCUCACUUUGAAAGUUUAAAGAGGUUUAUUAAACCUUAAUGUUAUAAAUUAUCAAAUCGAUAGCCAAAUUUAUGAAAAAUUUAACAACAAUUUAUUGGGUCAAUUAGAAAAAAAUAGAAUUUCGAGCAACCACCACAAUCAAGACAGCGUCAGUCUCGGGUACAGGUGCUGGGUGAGACCAGAGGUUCGACCGACAGAGUGACAGUGUCCCCUCAAAGGUUCACCCCAAGUGUUUCCAGCAUUCAGUUUAUUUACAGUUUAUUGCGCCUGAGGCAUAGAUAGCCGCAUCUUUCUAUUAAUUUCUUUGAAUGCAAAUCCAUUUCUAUACAUAUGUGGAAAUAGACAAAGACGGGUAGACAGAAGUCUGAGCACACAGGAGAAGUUUGAAUAAGUUGGUAUAGGUUCCUGAGUGCCCAGAUGCGAUCAGGGCGAGUCUGAGUCUUGUGAAAUUCCUGGGACACUGCAAUUAAUCAUGGGCCAGGAAGGCCCUGAUGUUAUCUCCCAGGUGCAGGAGACAAGGAAAUAAUCUCUGAUGGUCCAGGAAGGUUCCAUUCAGACCUUAAACAGGUCUGAUGCUAUCUUGAUACUGCCAGGAAUUAGUUACAAUUUUGAAUAGAGCUUUGUUCCUGGCUGGGAGGUUAAAACAUAAUUUCUACAAUAUUUUAUACCCACACAUAUCUGUUUAUACAGCAUGAAUUAACUACAUUACAUGUCACACAUAACAAAAGUAGUACAAAGGACUACAUAAGGAAAAAGCUACAGUGCUGGGAACUGCCCCUCAUGCUUACCACGUGGCCAGUUCAUCUUCAAGAUGGAUGCUCAGUCUUUUAUACCCCUGGGGUUGCAUCAGCCAGCCUUGGCCCCUCCCAAAGUCUGUCAGUCAGCUCUUCUCUCUUCUUUGCCAUUUAUCGGUGGAAACUGCUUUCUUGUAACUUGAUUGAAGGUCAGGUGUUGCCAUGCCACACCGCCUAAGCAACAAGCUGUUCCAUUCCCAACUGCCCCAUGCAAGGGGCACAUAUGCACACCUUCUGUCCACCUGUCCUACACAGCCCAGGCUGUCUGAUGGCAGCAAUAUGGGGUGGGGGGGGAACUGUGGGGAGAACAGAGGACAUCUAAACUACAAUAACAUAACUAUACAUCAUUAAAGCUUUUCUUAAUAUUCCCACCAUAGUUACCUUUAAAUUGCGAGAGCCAAUAAUCUCAUUAUCCAUCUAUUACAGUAUUACAAAAGGAGCAAUCUUCUCGCCUGAGCCCCCCACUGCCCCCCCAUUCCCCACAGGGAAGUUUCUGAGCUCCUGUGCAAGCACCCCUGAGGUCACUGCAGCCCCUCUGCCCCACCUGAGCCUCCAGUGCUCCCGGCUGGUUGUGGUCAUAGCUACACAGAAAGGGGAAAUUCCUUCACAGGCUGGAAACUUCUGGUAUUGUUUUAUUGUUGUUUGUCUGUCUUGGGACACAUAUAUAUUCGAGUAAAGAGCUGUUAUUCCUUUUCCCAUAAUUUUUGCCUGGAAGAGCCAUAAUUUACAUACAAGUUUGGGGGCAGGGGUUGCCUUCCCAUUCCAGGAAGGUUCCCACCUUCCUCAGCAGACUGUCCUUUAAAACAAGACAGUGAGUGAUCUCUCUCUGCCCUUACCUUAACUCGUGAAACCUUUGUUAUAUUUUCUUUCCCCUGUCCAGCUGUGGAGGGGAAGUGAGAGAGCAGCUGUAGUGUGUGUCUGGCAUCCACCUGGGGUCAACCCACCACUGAUGCCUUCAGAUUUUAGCUUUUGUAUUUGUCAUUUAUUUGUAAUCCUGCACUUCUUUAGCAUAUAACUCCAAACUCUAUAUAGAGUGUUAGCUACUGCUUUCCCAUUUUGGUCAGACACAACAAUUUCUCUCUAGGCCUGGGAAUCAAGGACACCUGACUGUCUCAGGCCUAGAGAAAUGCAAACAAAAGUGAGUUGGGGGAGGAGCAACUUGGGGUAAAUGACUUCAUUACCUGAAGCUGUAAUUGGAAGAUUGAGCCCCAAUAUGCAAAUAGACCAAGCUUAUAAAAGUGUGAAAACCCAUCACCCAUUGUCCAUUUUUGGGUGUACCCCCUGGGGGGGCUUUGUUUGCCUGAAAUGUAGCUGAAGGCCUUUCAAUAAAUAUAACCACUUUUUAU
Molecule: long non-coding RNA, 2573 nt
Organism: Melospiza melodia melodia
Lineage: Eukaryota; Metazoa; Chordata; Aves; Passeriformes; Passerellidae
Exons: 3
Source: RefSeq, a predicted model, not a curated record